GCUGGCGGCAGGCCUAACACAUGCAAGUCGAGCGGUAGCACAGAGAGCUUGCUCUCGGGUGACGAGCGGCGGACGGGUGAGUAAUGUCUGGGAAACUGCCUGAUGGAGGGGGAUAACUACUGGAAACGGUAGCUAAUACCGCAUAAUGUCGCAAGACCAAAGUGGGGGACCUUCGGGCCUCAUGCCAUCAGAUGUGCCCAGAUGGGAUUAGCUAGUAGGUGGGGUAACGGCUCACCUAGGCGACGAUCCCUAGCUGGUCUGAGAGGAUGACCAGCCACACUGGAACUGAGACA
This 293-nucleotide ribosomal RNA is filed under the name Klebsiella pneumoniae. RNAcentral describes it as "partial 16S ribosomal RNA". It matches the Rfam family "Bacterial small subunit ribosomal RNA", at positions 35 to 326 of the family's 1533-position model. Lineage: Bacteria; Pseudomonadati; Pseudomonadota; Gammaproteobacteria; Enterobacterales; Enterobacteriaceae. The record is from RNAcentral.